GGGAGUGUCGCCUAAGGGAUGGGGCACCGAUCUUCUAAAUCGGUCUGUGUAGGUUCGAAUCCUACCACUCCUGCCA
This 76-nucleotide transfer RNA is filed under the name Acaryochloris marina MBIC11017. RNAcentral's name for it is "tRNA-Arg (TCT) (tRNA-Arg-TCT-2-1)". It matches the Rfam family "tRNA". From Rfam's summary of the family: Transfer RNA (tRNA) molecules are approximately 80 nucleotides in length. Their secondary structure includes four short double-helical elements and three loops (D, anti-codon, and T loops). The record is from RNAcentral. Lineage: Bacteria; Bacillati; Cyanobacteriota; Cyanophyceae; Acaryochloridales; Acaryochloridaceae. RNAcentral also lists the same sequence under 1 other name.